GACGAACGCUGGCGGCGUGCUUAACACAUGCAAGUCGAACGGUAAGGCCCUUCGGGGUACACGAGUGGCGAACGGGUGAGUAACACGUGGGUGAUCUGCCCUGCACUUCGGGAUAAGCCUGGGAAACUGGGUCUAAUACCGGAUAGGACCACCGCCUGCAGGGGCGGGGGUGGAAAGCUUUUGCGGUGUGGGAUGGGCCCGCGGCCUAUCAGCUUGUUGGUGGGGUGAUGGCCUACCAAGGCGACGACGGGUAGCCGGCCUGAGAGGGUGACCGGCCACACUGGGACUGAGAUACGGCCCAGACUCCUACGGGAGGCAGCAGUGGGGAAUAUUGCACAAUGGGCGCAAGCCUGAUGCAGCGACGCCGCGUGAGGGAUGACGGCCUUCGGGUUGUAAACCUCUUUCAGCACCGACGAAGCGCAAGUGACGGUAGGUGCAGAAGAAGGACCGGCCAACUACGUGCCAGCAGCCGCAGUAA
RNAcentral lists this ribosomal RNA (478 nucleotides) under uncultured bacterium. RNAcentral describes it as "partial 16S ribosomal RNA". It matches the Rfam family "Bacterial small subunit ribosomal RNA", at positions 28 to 523 of the family's 1533-position model. The record is from RNAcentral.